UUUUUGAAAAUAAUUUAAAGUCUAAUCUGCCCACUGAUAAAAAUAUUAAAGGGCUGCAGUAUUUUAACUGUACAAAGGUAGCAUAAUCAUUUGUCUCUUAAUUGGUGACUUGUAUGAAAGAUUGGAUGAAAUAUAAACUGUCUCAUUAUAAUUAAGUAAAAUUUAAUUUUUUAGUAAAAAAGCUAAAAUAAUUUUAAAAGACGAGAAGACCCUAUAGAGUUUUAUAAUUUUGUUAAGUUUAUUAAAAUAUAAAUUUUUAAAAUAAAAUUAAUUUAAUUAUUUUGUUGGGGUGACAAAAAAAUUAAAUUAACUUUUUUUUAAAAAAAUUACAUUAAUAAAUGAAUAAAUGAUCCAUUAUUAAUGAUUAUAAGAAAAAUUACCUUAGGGAUAACAGCGUAAUUUUUUUUUUUAGGUCAAAUAAGAAAAAAAGUUUGCGACCUCGAUGUUGGAUUAAGAUAAAAUUAAAAUGCAAAAGUUUUAAAUUUUU
Molecule: ribosomal RNA, 487 nt
Filed under: Euryades corethrus
Lineage: Eukaryota; Metazoa; Arthropoda; Insecta; Lepidoptera; Papilionidae
Description: partial 16S ribosomal RNA
Source: RNAcentral